RNAcentral lists this long non-coding RNA (559 nucleotides) under Triticum aestivum (bread wheat). RNAcentral's name for it is "long non-coding RNA (TAES_LNC006363)". Lineage: Eukaryota; Viridiplantae; Streptophyta; Magnoliopsida; Poales; Poaceae. The record is from RNAcentral.
ACGAAAUGCCUGGAGCACCAUCAUCGUCCAAUUGCAAGCAAAGUUUUCAAAGGCAUGUUUCUGUCAGACUUGGAUUCGCCUGUGCUGCGCAGCCUGCGCUAAGGCCUAAGGCUGAUGCCUGUGUGUGUCUUUCAUCAUUUUUUGCGUCCGUAAUGGUGAUGUGGUAGUGGUACACAGCUGCCCAUAUUUGAAGAAUUCCAAGGGCUAAACUAUGGAGGCAGAUUACGUUUAGGCAUUUGUCCUUAAGCUAUAUUGCUCCUGUUAUUUUAUUCUGGGGACUGUUGUUCAUUUCCCGAACACCGUGACGUUCACUGGAGAUUGUACUCUGCUUAGAAAUCGGCAGCUAAGCAAUCUGUAGGGCAUGAUAUGUUUUCUUUAGAUCAAUAUAAGCUUUUCUCCCUGUUUCAUUUUAUUUAAAUCAACAAUGCUUUUCUGCAGAUGGACUAGUCCAGACUUUGUGUAUAUCAAUCUCCUUGCAUGUAUUUAUAAGAAUAUUGUUUUGUUGUAAGUUGUAAAUACAAUGCUAGAGAAAUAUUAUGGAUAAUUUUUUUUUGUUGAU